Ictalurus punctatus (channel catfish) is the source of this 2275-nucleotide long non-coding RNA. NCBI's taxonomy places the organism in Eukaryota, Metazoa, Chordata, Actinopteri, Siluriformes, Ictaluridae. The record is from Ensembl.
UUUUAUUUAAUUAUAAGGCUGCCUUUUUUUUCGUUAAUUUUUGUUUCUUCCUUUUUUUUUUUUUUUUUUUUUCUUUUUCUUUUUUAAAAAUUUUUUUCUUCUUAAAGCUCAACCCAAAUCUCAGUUCGAAGCCCAGGGAUUUUUAUUAAAUUAUUUAUUAAUGUGGUUUUUUUUGUUUUUGUUUUUUUUGGUUUUUUUUUUGGCCAAUGGAACCACACAUCUGCUUCUAGGAUUACGAUCGUCGUCGACGACGUAGGAUCGUCGAGUCGCGUACGUGCGCCAGAUGCAGAAUCUUCUCCCACGUUUAACCUGACUUUACUUUUGAUUUCUAAAGCUGAUCAGACUGAGCAAUAUUUUUAAUGCCUGUAGAGAAAUGUCAUGAUGCACCUGUUUAAAUAUCUGCAGUAAUCUUGUUUUAAAAAAAAAAAACAACAAAAAAAAAACAAAACCAACCCAUCGCUGUAACGUGUAGAAUGGACUAAACCACUUCUUUGAAGGCCAAUAUUCUAUGUGUUACUUUUAUUUUUUAAUCAUUUCUAUAACUUGGAACGUUUUAUCUGGAAUUCGAAUGAUAGUAUAUGAUUGAUUUAUUUUUUUUAUUUUGUUAAUUUUUUUUUUUUAUAGGAUGUUAAUCGCGGUCAUACAUAUAAACUGCAUGAACACAGACGUGAAUGCUACAUUUCCAUCACCAUCAGGUCAGGAAUAAUCCUUCUCUCAGACUCCGAAACUGUCGCGUUUUUCCCGGAUGCGAGUUUGGUAAACCGCGUAGCCGCGACGCGACGCGCGGCCGCCUCGUCACUCGUCUCCAACCGCUCCGAUUUACUCUUCAAAGGUGAAGCCGUGAAUUAUGUCCCGGUCUCAUUAGCAUAUAAUUAGCAUGCAUCACCCGCCACGACGUAAUGAAUUACUGAGACUUUUUUUGUUUUUGUUUUGAGGGAUUGCGAUUAACCUGGCCACCUUCAUCACCACUGAUGCUAUCAUGGGAAACGAUACUGACCGCGCUCAUGAUUUUUCUACCAGCGUUUCUAUGAAAAUUGUAUAAAACUGAAAAACAGACCGGAACGUUCGGCACGUGUAGUUUCACACGUGUAAGAACAUGGCUUUGUAACGGAAGGUCACUGCAGGUCAAACGCAGCAAACAUUUACAGCUGCGUGCGAAAGUUUGCACUCCCACAUCCUUUUCGUUCUAACUUAAAAUAAAAUCAAUCAAAUAAAAUGAAAUCCCUGCAUCUGUACUGAUGCCGAAUGAAGAACCCUCUCGGUUUCCCAAAAGAACAUUUGACUUAUUAACUUAUCUUUAAACGUUUUGAGCAAAAAGAAGAGGGGGGGGGGGGAUAAAAGAUUUAAUCAUGUGGAAAGGUCGCUGUGGUGGAAAACAGCUACUCGUUUAUCAGCAGGCGUUCUGGGGAACUACGUCCGCCGCCAUCUUUGUUUAUUUUUUUAAGAAGUUUAGGAGAAAAGCUUCUCUCUAGCGCCUUAAAGGGUUCGUCGAUUUGUCCAUCUUUAGCGGAAAUGCUUAAAAGUUCUACAGUGCCAAAACUAAUCAAACAAAAAAAAAAAGCGUGAAAGAAUUAUUUUGUUUAUUGAUUCAAUAGAUUUUUUAACUGAUUAAUAACACUCCUGAUGUCGACGUUUGUGAUUUAAAUCACCAAAUUUCACUCGAGCUGAUAACGUGUCAGAUUCCUUCAAGGUGCAGAGCAGUGUGUAACACAGCCCACGACUGUCUGUACAAAAAAGAGUAAAAAUAAACAAACAAACAAAAAAUCCAGAUUUGGCCAUAAAAGUAAACAUCUUUUCUCACCGUGACACAUUAAAACCCCGACUCGACCUGUUGGACCUGCAGGAAUGUGAAUUCAGCAAUAAAAGUAUUGGGUUUUUUUUUUUUUGUGUGUGUGUGUGUGUGUGUGUUUUAAUUUUGCUUUUUCCCCCGUGUGUGUGUGUGUGAGUGAGAUAGAGUGAGAGAGAACUCUGGGAGAUGUUUCAGCUUCCAGUAUGCUAGGGACUGCUUUAUCUCCAUUAAAUAAAACAAAAUGACCAAAACGUGACUCGGCCUCGACUUUAUUUAUUAGCACUAAUGCUGCGAUUUCACUGAAUAGAAACAAGUUGAUUCAUGUAGCAACAGAACACGCAUAACAUUUUAGAAUUAAGUCUUCAUAACCGCCAGCGUAUGGAAGUCGUGAGGAAUAAAACAAUGAACGUGUUGCUAGAAAUACUUUAUUUGUGGAUUGUUUUUAAUUUGUUUUUAUUUGAUUGCAAUCUAUAAAGGGAACAAAAC